Molecule: microRNA, 22 nt
Filed under: Patiria miniata (bat star)
Lineage: Eukaryota; Metazoa; Echinodermata; Asteroidea; Valvatida; Asterinidae
Description: pmi-miR-92a-3p
Gene: pmi-miR-92a-3p
Source: miRBase by way of RNAcentral
UAUUGCACUUGUCUCGGCCUGC